Amphiprion ocellaris (clown anemonefish) is the source of this 2567-nucleotide long non-coding RNA. RefSeq lists it as uncharacterized. NCBI's taxonomy places the organism in Eukaryota, Metazoa, Chordata, Actinopteri, Pomacentridae. The transcript has 3 exons. The record is from RefSeq and is a predicted model, not a curated record.
CUUUUCUUAGCUGUUUUAGUCAAUAUGUUGUUAUCCCGCAUUUAGGCAGUUAUUUAUUUAGGCCUGUGUUUGAUACUUUGUUGCAACGGGUAGCUAUCUGCUGACGUGUCACUCCAUUUACAAACUUUUAUCCUCAUCCUGUUACGACACGUUGUUUUGUUGUGCUAAUAUGUAGCCGUAAACUCAUUGGUGUCUGUAGGAGCUGCAGCCCUGCACACAUAUCAGGACACUUUUCAAGAACAGCUGAGAGGUGUAGGCUACUACUAAGCGAGAGGUCAACUAUGGAUACUCGGCUGUGAGAAUUUUUGAUGGAGCGAAACUUGAAGAUGAGAAUAUUGAUGAAACUGUCAUUCCGUUAAUGACAGACAGUGACCUGGCAAAGUACAUCCCCAAAGUUGGAGAUAGAGUCUCCACUGUGGCUUUCUGCCGACAAGCAUCACUGUCACAAAACUCACAAUCCAGGAAAGAAUCCAUACUCUCAAGGCGACGACAAAGACUGUCUUGAGCUGAGGGGAUGCCACCAAAAAAGAGAACAUCUAAGUGGGCAGGAAAUACAAAUGCCAAAUGGAAGGUGAGAUGAAUUGAGGUUGGCUGGAUGGAUUUUGAUGAGGAGGAGGAGAGGUUCAAACAGGUGAAGUCUGUAAGUGGUGGAGGGACGAGGCAUCUCUCGAUUGACAAAGACGAAACAGUGGCAAAUAUCAAACUUAUGGCUGAAAAUCUUUUUUCCCCAAAGGCCUUUCAAAAAAAAGCAGAAGUCUUUCACACUUCAACUCAUAUUGAGAGCUCACAGAUACAUGUUGAUAUGUCCAAUACAGUAGACCAGUUGUAUAAUCAAAGCAAGGUCAAAAUUCUGCGACUUUAUCUGUGCACCAAAAAGAAAACAGGACAGCAGCCCUCAGGAGUUGAGGUGAUCACGCAUCAAGCCAGCCCUCAGUGGUAGAUCUCACUAACAAUGAACAGAAACAGUGAAUCACAGUGAAGGAGCUUCUAAACUUUCCAGAGGAGAUGACAGCAGCCCAGUCAACAGUUUGUCGUUACCUGAAAAGGUACAUUGGGGAAAUUGAUAGCAACAAGCUUCAGCUUUUCCUGCGGUUUUGUACAGGAUCUGAUCUGUUGGAUAAGGCUAUACUAAUUGAGUUCAUAGAAACCACAGAUUUUCUCCGCAGACCACAAUCCCACACAUGUGGAUGUGUACUAAAGCUGCCAUUGGUUACUACAGCUAUCCAGAUUUCCACAGCGAAUUUAACAGCAUUCUCACAAGCUUAAUGCGGAUAUGGGAUGUGGUGUAGGUAAUAAUACAAACAAUAACAUGAAGGAUGUGACAGCUCCUUGCUAGACUGGAUGUUUUUGUUAUGUAGCCCGUUGUUCCUUUUGUAUGUGCAGCAUUUUAAUUCAUCUGCUUUUAAAGUGGUCGAUUUGUUCUUUCCCAGUCAAAUGGUAAGCUUAAAGGGAUAGUUCAGUGGGGCUGUAGGAGAUACGUUUGCUUAGUCAGUGUAUUACCUGUAGUAGACAGCACUCAGCACUCUCCGGGUUUGUAGAAGCAGAGGAGUGCUGGGACAGAAGCAGAGCAAUGCAUUGCUGGGCAUGGGGACAGCAACACAGCAACAAACAUAUUUUAGUCACCUAAAACAAGUCCCACCUCAAAAGAAUACACCAGGUUAUCUGUACACUGUAUUAGGAAUAUUUUCAGUGCUUCACCUGGUGGGAAAACUGUUGUUUCCUUUGACACUAACCAUAAAACUCCCAUAUGCCUACGCCUAAAGUGCAUCUGUGCCUGAUGCACACUGUAUUACUCCAGUUAGUGCCAAAAGAAACAACUACUUUAUGAGCAGUCGUACAGCUCCACUUCAAAUACCAAAAGCCAAUUGAUUAAGCAUGUUUUAUAUUAUUAUUACAGUUGUUUGUAGCAACCCCAGUAGAAACAAGAAUGUGAGCCUUAGCUGAUGUUUCAAAGGUGUUGAAAAAUAAUUCAGUUGUUUACAGAAGUUGUUUACACUUUAAAUAAGUUUAAAUAACAUUAUUUUGUACCUAUCACUAUGAUACUGGCUAACAGGAGGAUUGAAAACUGUUCUUAUCCUGUUAUGUGCAAAAUACAACCUGUUCUGUUUUUGACUAGGGUGUAUUUUAAGAAAAAAAAAGACCAGUAAAGCAUUCAAGUUUGUACAAAAUGUUGAUGUCCUGUCUCUCUUAUAUUCUAUACAUCUUUACUUAUUUCACACCUCACUCUCUAGUGUUAUAAAUGUGCUGUGAUUUGUUAUGAAAGACACAGUUCUUUAUCAAACAUUGGAUUCUUUUAAUCUCUUCCACAAAAACAAAAACAGGCUCAGGAAACAUAUGGAGCAUUGAUGAUACACUAUACAGUAGCCUACUUGGUCUUCUUGUCUAAUUGAUCAUAACAUUAGGUUUAUGAUAUCAUUGCCAGUCUAUGUUGUUGCUGCAUCGUUUAUGUUUUGACCAGUGUUGCCAACUCCUCAGUAAGGAAAGUAGCUAUUGGCUGUCCUAAAAGUCGCUAGAAGUCGCUAAAUGAUGUCAUCGUCUAAUUUGCAUAAUUUCCCGUUUGCAUGUAA